GAUGAAGAACGCAGCGAAAUGCGAUAAGUAAUGUGAAUUGCAGAAUUCAGUGAAUCAUCGAAUCUUUGAACGCACAUUGCGCCCGCCAGUAUUCUGGCGGGUAUGCCUGUUCGAGCGUCAUUACAACCCUCAGGCCCCCGGGCCUGGCGUUGGGGAUCGGCGGAAGCCCCCUGUGGGCACACGCCGUCCCUCAAAUACAGUGGCGGUCCCGCCGCAGCUUCCAUUGCGUAGUAGCUAACACCUCGCAACUGGAGAGCGGCGCGGCCAUGCCGUAAAACACCCAACUUCUGAAUGUUGACCUCGAAUCAGGUAGGAAUACCCGCUGAACUUAAGCAUAUCAAUAAGCGGAGGA
This 352-nucleotide unclassified non-coding RNA is filed under the name soil metagenome. RNAcentral's name for it is "partial contains 5.8S ribosomal RNA, internal transcribed spacer 2, and large subunit ribosomal RNA". The stretch from base 1 to 120 matches the Rfam family "5.8S ribosomal RNA", at positions 35 to 154 of the family's 154-position model. The record is from RNAcentral.